GUCUAUAGUCAUACCACCCUGAACGCACGCAAUCUCAUCUGAUCUCAGAAGCUCAGCAGGAUCAGGCCUGGUUAGAACUUGGAUGGAAGACCACCUGACACCAGGUGCUGUAUGUU
RNAcentral lists this ribosomal RNA (116 nucleotides) under Saimiri boliviensis boliviensis (Bolivian squirrel monkey). Lineage: Eukaryota; Metazoa; Chordata; Mammalia; Primates; Cebidae. The record is from RNAcentral.